UUGAGUUCAUAAAGAACUCGGACAGAUUUCACAUGCAAGCAAGAAGGAUACAAAAGUCAAUGUAUAAUCCGACUUGAAGUAAAUAUAGAAGAAGCAGACCGAUUUGCAAGAAAUGUCUACCGACUCAAAUAAUAGAUGAACACACAACCCCACUAAAGGAAAUCAUACAGGAACAUAAUGGACACAGUAAUAACUUUAAAGAUAUGAUUAAAGGGGCUCAAUAACCACUUCGUCACAAAAAAAAUCAAUGUACUACCAUACUAACUAAUAAUACGUAGGUGCAAAGCAUAAUCGUAGCAUUCAAGUGUAAAA
This 312-nucleotide long non-coding RNA is filed under the name Solanum tuberosum (potato). Its description in RNAcentral is "long non-coding RNA (STUB_LNC011091)". Lineage: Eukaryota; Viridiplantae; Streptophyta; Magnoliopsida; Solanales; Solanaceae. The record is from RNAcentral.